CUUCUGAUUGCAACUGGAAUUUUACAGGGAAAUUUUCCUACGCCAAAAUCCGCAAGAAAUCUCUGGAAUCGAUCCCUAAAAACAUGUGCCAAACAACCAAUCUCCCAGUGAUUUAUCUCCCCGCUCCUCAGCAUUCCCAGAGUGCCAUAGCAACUGCUCGCUCCUCCGGCGUGGGAUGGGAGAAAACCGGGAUGGAACAUGGGAAAAAAACCAUCAGGAAUAAAAAGGAAGGGAGAAAAUCCCUGGGUUUCGUGCAGGAAAAAGGGAAAAGCACUUCCCUUUGGAAUUUCUCCAGAGAUUCCCCCCCGUUUGCUCCGACCUGAUGGCAAUUUUCCCUGGGCUCAACAAUCCUGUCAGUGGGUGCUGGAUCAUUUUUAUCCCGGCUAUAAACAGGAAAUAUUACAGGAAAGCCUUUUAAAGCAUCAUCACCUCCAUCAGGAUCCAAGCUGGCAACAGGAGAACUGUUCUUUUCCUUGAAACUAUUUAAUAUUUUAAUAGCUGAUUAAAUUAGAACGUAACGGCCGACGGGUGAUUAUUGGGAUUUAUUGGUUAAAGAGGAGAACUGGGAUAUUUAUCCACGUUUAAAGAUACUGGAAAUGUGCCCGUUUGAUAAAUCACGUUUGACUCUUUGUUGUUUGACGGGCUCAGUGUCACCUGAAGGACCAUUUCACAUCCUGCUGGUGGUCCCAGCGUUCCCGGAGGAAGAGCUUACCUGCAGAUGGCCGGAAAACAUUCCUGAAGGCCCUUUUUCUUCACUAAAGAUCCUUCCAGGCAAUACAUGAUGAUGUCCAUCACCUCGGAAACGACAA
This is a long non-coding RNA of Pseudopipra pipra, 809 nucleotides long. RefSeq lists it as uncharacterized. Lineage: Eukaryota; Metazoa; Chordata; Aves; Passeriformes; Pipridae. The record is from RefSeq and is a predicted model, not a curated record. The transcript is spliced from 2 exons.